CAGUAGCCGCGGUAAUACGAAGGGUGCAAGCGUUACUCGGAAUUACUGGGCGUAAAGCGUGCGUAGGUGGUUGUUUAAGUCUGCUGUGAAAGCCCUGGGCUCAACCUGGGAAUUGCAGUGGAUACUGGGCAACUAGAGUAAGGUAGAGGAUAGUGGAAUUUCCGGUGUAGCAGUGAAAUGCGUAGAGAUCGGAAGGAACAUCUGUGGCGAAGGCGACUAUCUGGGCCAUUACUGACACUGAGGCACGAAAGCGUGGGGAGCAAACAGGAUUAGAUACCCCUGUAGUCCCUGUCUCUUAUAC
This 301-nucleotide ribosomal RNA is filed under the name uncultured bacterium. RNAcentral describes it as "partial 16S ribosomal RNA". It matches the Rfam family "Bacterial small subunit ribosomal RNA", at positions 509 to 807 of the family's 1533-position model. The record is from RNAcentral.